UAGGGAAUCUUCCGCAAUGGGCGAAAGCCUGACGGAGCAACGCCGCGUGAGUGAUGAAGGUCUUCGGAUCGUAAAACUCUGUUUUUAGGGAAGAACAAAUGUGUAAGUAACUACGCACGUCUUUACGGUACCUAAUCAGAAAGCCACGGCUAACUUCGUGCCAGCAGCCGCGGUAAUACGUAGGUGGCAAGCGUUAUCCGGAAUUAUUGGGCGUAAAGCGCGCGUAGGCGGUUUUUUAAGUCUGAUGUGGAAGCCAACGGCUCAACCGUGGAGGGUCAUUGGAAACUGGGAAACUUGAGUGCAGAAGAGGAAAGUGGAAUUCCAUGUGUAGCGGUGAAAUGCGCAGAGAUAUGGAGGAACACCAGUGGAGAAGGCGACUGUCUGGUCUGUAACUGACACUGAUGUGCGAAAGCGUGGGGAUCAAACAGG
RNAcentral lists this ribosomal RNA (429 nucleotides) under Actinomycetes bacterium. Its description in RNAcentral is "Actinobacteria bacterium partial 16S ribosomal RNA". It matches the Rfam family "Bacterial small subunit ribosomal RNA", at positions 355 to 776 of the family's 1533-position model. The record is from RNAcentral. Lineage: Bacteria; Bacillati; Actinomycetota; Actinomycetes.